RNAcentral lists this ribosomal RNA (468 nucleotides) under uncultured bacterium. RNAcentral describes it as "partial 16S ribosomal RNA". It matches the Rfam family "Bacterial small subunit ribosomal RNA", at positions 28 to 507 of the family's 1533-position model. The record is from RNAcentral.
GACGAACGCUGGCGGCGUGCUUAACACAUGCAAGUCGAACGGAAAGGCCCUGCUUUUGUGGGGUGCUCGAGUGGCGAACGGGUGAGUAACACGUGAGUAUCCUGCCCUUGACUUUGGGAUAACUUCAGGAAACUGGGGCUAAUACCGGAUAGGAGCUCCUGCUGCAUGGUGGGGGUUGGAAAGUUUCGGCGGUUGGGGAUGGACUCGCGGCUUAUUAGCUUGUUGGUGGGGUAGUGGCUUACCAAGGCUUUGACGGGUAGCCGGCCUGAGAGGGUGACCGGCCUCAUUAGGACUGAGGUACGGCCCAGACUCCUACGGGAGGCAGCAGUGGGGAAUAUUGCACAAUGAGCGGAAGCCUGAUGCAGCAACGCCGCGUGCGGGAUGACGGCCUUCGGGUUGUAAACCGCAUUCGCCUGUGACGAAGCGUGAGUGACGGUAAUGGGUAAAGAAGCACCGGCUAACUACGUG